Molecule: ribosomal RNA, 274 nt
Filed under: uncultured bacterium
Lineage: Bacteria
Description: partial 16S ribosomal RNA
Rfam family: Bacterial small subunit ribosomal RNA
Source: RNAcentral
UACGUAGGGUGCGAGCGUUGUCCGGAAUUACUGGGCGUAAAGGGCUCGUAGGUGGUUUGUCGCGUCGUCUGUGAAAUUCCGGGGCUUAACUCCGGGCGUGCAGGCGAUACGGGCAUAACUUGAGUAUGUAGGGGUAACUGGGAAUUCCUGGUGUAGCGGUGAAAUGCGCAGAUAUCAGGAGGAACACCGAUGGCGAAGGCAGGUUACUGGGCAGUUACUGACGCUGAGGAGCGAAAGCAUGGGUAGCGAACAGGAUUAGAUACCCCGGUAGUCC